AUUGAACGCUGGCGGCAUGCCUAACACAUGCAAGUCGAACGGUAACAGGCCUUCGGGCGCUGACGAGUGGCGGACGGGUGAGGAAUGCGUAGGAAUCUACCCAGUAGCGGGGGACAACUUAGGGAAACUUAAGCUAAUACCGCAUACGCCCUACGGGGGAAAGCAGGGGAUCUUCGGACCUUGCACUAUUGGAUGAGCCUACGUCGGAUUAGCUAGUUGGUAGGGUAAUGGCCUACCAAGGCGACGAUCCGUAGCUGGUCUGAGAGGACGAUCAGCCACACUGGGACUGAGACACGGCCCAGACUCCUACGGGUGGCAG
RNAcentral lists this ribosomal RNA (319 nucleotides) under uncultured Pseudomonadota bacterium. Its description in RNAcentral is "bacterial SSU rRNA". It matches the Rfam family "Bacterial small subunit ribosomal RNA", at positions 30 to 351 of the family's 1533-position model. The record is from RNAcentral. Lineage: Bacteria; Pseudomonadati; Pseudomonadota.